This 881-nucleotide ribosomal RNA is filed under the name uncultured Halomonas sp. RNAcentral's name for it is "bacterial SSU rRNA". It matches the Rfam family "Bacterial small subunit ribosomal RNA", at positions 12 to 884 of the family's 1533-position model. The record is from RNAcentral. Lineage: Bacteria; Pseudomonadati; Pseudomonadota; Gammaproteobacteria; Oceanospirillales; Halomonadaceae.
UUUGAUCCUGGCUCAGAUUGAACGCUGGCGGCAGGCCUAACACAUGCAAGUCGAGCGGCAGCACGGGAAGCUUGCUUCCUGGUGGCGAGCGGCGGACGGGUGAGUAAUGCAUAGGAAUCUGCCCGGUAGUGGGGGAUAACCUGGGGAAACCCAGGCUAAUACCGCAUACGUCCUACGGGAGAAAGCAGGGGCUCUUCGGACCUUGCGCUAUCGGAUGAGCCUAUGUCGGAUUAGCUGGUUGGUGAGGUAAUGGCUCACCAAGGCGACGAUCCGUAGCUGGUCUGAGAGGAUGAUCAGCCACAUCGGGACUGAGACACGGCCCGAACUCCUACGGGAGGCAGCAGUGGGGAAUAUUGGACAAUGGGCGCAAGCCUGAUCCAGCCAUGCCGCGUGUGUGAAGAAGGCCCUCGGGUUGUAAAGCACUUUCAGUGGGGAAGAAAGCCUGGUGGUUAAUACCCGUCAGGAAGGACAUCACCCACAGAAGAAGCACCGGCUAACUCCGUGCCAGCAGCCGCGGUAAUACGGAGGGUGCGAGCGUUAAUCGGAAUUACUGGGCGUAAAGCGCGCGUAGGUGGCUUGAUAAGCCGGUUGUGAAAGCCCCGGGCUCAACCUGGGAACGGCAUCCGGAACUGUCAGGCUAGAGUGCAGGAGAGGAAGGUAGAAUUCCCGGUGUAGCGGUGAAAUGCGUAGAGAUCGGGAGGAAUACCAGUGGCGAAGGCGGCCUUCUGGACUGACACUGACACUGAGGUGCGAAAGCGUGGGUAGCAAACAGGAUUAGAUACCCUGGUAGUCCACGCCGUAAACGAUGUCGACUAGCCGUUGGGUCCUUCGCGGACUUUGUGGCGCAGUUAACGCGAUAAGUCGACCGCCUGGGGAGUACG